This 322-nucleotide ribosomal RNA is filed under the name uncultured eukaryote. RNAcentral's name for it is "partial 18S ribosomal RNA". It matches the Rfam family "Eukaryotic small subunit ribosomal RNA", at positions 1470 to 1796 of the family's 1831-position model. The record is from RNAcentral.
CCCUUAGAUGUUCUGGGCCGCACGCGUGCUACACUGAGUGGAUCAGCGGGUCAGGUUGCGCGAAAGUGUUUCCUAAUCUUGAAAUCCGCUCGUGAUGGGGAUUGACGGUUGCAAUUUUCUGUCAUGAACGAGGAAUACCUUGUAAGCGCGGGUCAUCAUCCCGCGCUGAAUACGUCCCUGCCCUUUGUACACACCGCCCGUCGCUCCUACCGAUUGAGUGGUCCGGUGAGGCUUUGGGAUCUGAGCGGAAAGAGCGUUUCGCUGUUUCUGCUUGGAAAACUCAGUCGAACCUUAUCAUUUAGAGGAAGGAGAAGUCGUAACA